ACAACCGGUCACUUAGGGACUCCACAACAAGCUGGUUCCCAAACACCCUAGAAGCUCAUUUGGAGGUUGGCUGCCUUCUCUGUCAAUAACUAAUCAGUUCUUCGUGAGUCUCAUCUGAUUCCUCAACCCACCUGGUCCCGUGUGCAAGGAACUGAACACCCUUGGGAAGAUGAGAGAGAGAUCAGAGGGAGGGCCAGAAGGAGAGACUCUCAAGCAGACAAUGUGCUGAGCACGGAGUCCCACCUGGAGCUCGAUCCCACCACCAUGAGAUCAUGACCCAAGCCAAAAUCAAGAGUCAGAUGCUGAACCAACCCAGAGCUUUUAGGAAUCAUGGAUUAUGAAGAGCUCCAUAUCUGUGUUUUGAUGCCUCAAUAGAACAUCUGAUAAACCGGAAAACCGUAAACGUUGCUUUAAAACCAAAGAGGGGGAUCC
Molecule: long non-coding RNA, 432 nt
Organism: Canis lupus familiaris (dog)
Lineage: Eukaryota; Metazoa; Chordata; Mammalia; Carnivora; Canidae
Exons: 3
Source: RefSeq, a predicted model, not a curated record